Molecule: ribosomal RNA, 247 nt
Filed under: uncultured Actinomycetes bacterium
Lineage: Bacteria; Bacillati; Actinomycetota; Actinomycetes
Description: uncultured actinobacterium partial 16S ribosomal RNA
Rfam family: Bacterial small subunit ribosomal RNA
Source: RNAcentral
GACGAACGCUGGCGGCGUGCUUAACACAUGCAAGUCGAGCGGUAAGGCCCUUUCGGGGGUACACGAGCGGCGAACGGGUGAGUAACACGUGGGUGACCUGCCCUCAGCUCUGGGAUAAGCCUGGGAAACCGGGUCUAAUACUGGAUAUGACUCCAUGACGCAUGUUGUGGGGUGGAAAGCCUUGUGCGGCUGAGGAUGGGCCCGCGGCCUAUCAGUUUGUUGGUGGGGUGAUGGCCUACCAAGGCGA